RNAcentral lists this long non-coding RNA (3019 nucleotides) under Sus scrofa (pig). RNAcentral describes it as "lncRNA (ENSSSCG00060052094.1)". The record is from RNAcentral. Lineage: Eukaryota; Metazoa; Chordata; Mammalia; Artiodactyla; Suidae.
UUUUUUUUUUUUUUUUUUGUCUUUUUGCUAUUUCUUUGGGCCGCUCCCAUGGCAUAUGGAGGUUCCCAGGCUAGGGGUCGAAUCGGAGCUGUAGCCGCCGGCCUACACCAGAGCCACAGCAACGCAGGAUCCGAGCCGUGUCUGCAACCUACACCACAGCUCACGGCAACGCCGGAUCGUUCACCCACUGAGCAAGGGACCGAACCCGCAACCUCAUGGUUCCUAGUCGGAUUCGUUAACCACUGCGCCAUGACGGGAACUCCACUAGUCAGAUUCUUAAUCUGCUGGGCCACAGUGGGAACUCCAUACUUUCUCCUUCUUGACAUGCUCUCUUCUUGGCUUCUAGAUGCCCAGUACCUCUGGUUUUCCUCCUAAGUCUCUGAUGUGUCUUCUCAUUCGUCUUUGCAGAUUUCUCCUCCUUUCACUGUCCUGUAAAUAUUGGUGACCUUUGGUUUCUGUCCUUAACCAUCAUUGCUCCUCACUCUAUACAGUUUCCCAUAGGAUUUCAUGAAUUUACAUGCUGACAGUUCCAAAUCUGUCACUCUAGAUUAGAUCACUCUCCAAAGACUCAUAGUCACAUAUCUAAUUGUCUACUAAACACCUUCACUGGGAUGUCCCACAGGCACUUCAUAAACACCAUGUCAGGAAGCAAGCUCAUAACCUCUACUCCCCACCAGCCUUCCCUCUUGCUUGGACCCAUGGGUUCCCCGUAUCAGUUAACCCUUACCUCACUGACCCACACUGGAGUGUGUCAUCAGGAGCAAAUAUUCUUUGGGUUUUACCACUCCAUGUGCUCCUGCCAAAGGCCCGUAGCUGUGUCUUUUUUUUUUUUUUUUUUCUUUUCUUUUUCCUGAGGGCCUUUUAAGAAGCAUCAGAAAGCUGCUCUGCCUGUAAGAACAGGGUGGAAAGGCUGGGGAAUUAAACCCAUCAGCCAAUGACUCAUGGCAGUUGGUUUAUUAAUUCCCCAGCUCCUCAACUUCUUGGGUGGGAGAACUCUGGGACAUUUGUUUUUUACCGUUUCCCAGGAUUUCUCCAUGACAUUAAUAGCAUAGUUGGCUUGAUAAAACACUCUUUCUUGGCUCCAUUUCCUCCUCCAUAUCACUUCCUCAUUUUCCUACCCAUAUUCCCUGUUCUUCUCAAAUAAACUACUUGCAUUUGAACCUUUUUCUUGAGGUCUAAUGCUGGGGAAAACCAGAGUAAGAUAACAUCCUUCUUUCCAAUCCCUUCCUUCCUUCUUCUAGUCAGUUACCAAAUUCUGUUACUUCUACUUCAUAAUCAUCUUGAGAAUUUAGCCACUUCUCUCCAGCCCUGCUGCCAUUUCCCUGGUACUCAACACCAUCCUCUCUAGCUGGGAUGCCCUUUGGCAUUGUCCACUUCAGUGCUUCCUCUUCCCCUCACGCAGUGAUCUUUAUGCAAAUUUGGAGUUCCCUGGCUAGGGGUCUAAUCGGAGCUGUAGCUGCCAGCCUACACCAGAGCCACAACAACACAGGAUCCAAGCCAUGUCUGCAACCUACACCACAGCUCAUGGCAACAUCAGAUCCUUAACCCACUAAGCAAGGCCAGGGAUCGAACCUGCAACCUCAUGGUUCCUAGUCGGAUUCGUUAACCACUGAGCCACAAUGGGAACUCCGAUCUUUUCCUUUUUUUAUUCUUUGUUGUUGUUGCACUCCUAGAUUUUAACUCAAUAUAGGGCACAGAGUAGAAACUCAGUAAGUAUUUGCCAAAUAAAUGAAUACCUAAUGGGUCAUUCCUGUCUUGCCCAUCUUGGCUUGUUUCUGCAGGACUGGAGUCAGAAAGCUGGUGAACACAUUUGCAGUUUUUAUCUGUGUUUACCUUUAUGUUCUAUUUUAAUUUUUUUCGUAAGUAUAAUGACUAGUGAUCUCAUUAGAUGAGUUCAUCAGACAAUGGUGAGUCAGGCACAGGACUGAUUUUGUUUAAACCUUACUAGGUGAUCAUUCCUGGUACUUGGUAUAAAAAGGGAUAUGGACAAGACAGUAGCUUGGAACUUCCAGUGUUGUCUUUUUGUUUUGCUUUGUUUCUCUUUUUAGGGCCACACCUCUGGCAUAUGGAGGUUCCCAGGCUAGGGGUCCAUUCAGAGCUAUAGCCACAGCAACGCGGGAUCCGAGCCAUGUCUGUGAUGUACACCAGAGCUCACGGCAACGCCAGAUCCUUAACCCACUGAGCGAGGCCAGGGAUGGAACCCACGUCCUCAUGGAUGCCAGUUGGGUUUGCUAACUUCUCAGCUAUGACGGGAACUCCUCAAAUUCUUUACAUCUAAGGACUUUCCUUAAUUCUUUACAUGUGUUCUUUCAUAAGAAUUCAUUUCAUAAAGAAUGUUUCAGAUUUAUUCUUUCAAAGAAUAAAUUCUCUCAAGAGGAGAAAUGCAUAUCAGUUCAUUAAUGACUGUUAUCAUUGGAAUUCUGUUUAUCGAAUUUCUGUUAAGAUAGGCAUGUUUGUAUUUAAAAAGAAAAAAAGCUACCAUAUAAUUCCUUUUUUUUUUUUUCUUUUUUUCUUUUUAGGGCCUCUCCAGUGGCAUAUAGAGGUUCCCAGGCUAGGAGUCUGAUCCGAGCUGUUGCUGCUGGCCUACACCAGAGCCACAGCAACACCAGAUCCGUGCCGCAUCUGUGACCUACACCACAGCUCACAGCAAUGCCAGAUCUGCAAACAACAACUUUGCAGGUGCAGCUGCAAAACGAAAAAGAAAAAAAAAAGAAUAAACUAGUAUCUACCUCAUUGACUUACCGUGAAAGAAGUGAGACAAUAGAAAUGGGAAAAUGUCUAUUCAAGUCCUUUGCCCCUUUUUUAAACUGGGUUAUUUUCGUUUUUGCUAUUGAGCUGUAUAGGUUCCUAAUAUAUUUUGGGUAUUAGCUCCUUCCUAUCGGUCCUCUUGUGGUCCAGUGGGUUAAAGAUUUGGUUUUGUCACUGCAGUGGCUCAGGUCACUGCUGUGGCAUGGGUUCAAUCCCUGAUCCUGGGAAUUUCCACAUGCCAUGGGCAUAGCCAAAAAAAAAAAAAAAAAAA